GCCGAUGUAGUUCAGUGGCAGAACAUUCCCUUGGUAAGGGAAAGGUCGUGGGUCCGAUUCUCACCAUCGGCU
This 72-nucleotide transfer RNA is filed under the name Sulfuricurvum sp. PD_MW2. Its description in RNAcentral is "tRNA-Thr". It matches the Rfam family "tRNA". Rfam says of the family: Transfer RNA (tRNA) molecules are approximately 80 nucleotides in length. Their secondary structure includes four short double-helical elements and three loops (D, anti-codon, and T loops). RNAcentral also lists the same sequence under 1 other name. Lineage: Bacteria; Pseudomonadati; Campylobacterota; Epsilonproteobacteria; Campylobacterales; Sulfurimonadaceae. The record is from RNAcentral.